UAAAAAGAUAAGCUAAGUAAGCUUUUGGGUUCAUACCCCAAGUAUAAAGGCCCCCCCCCUUUUCUUUUU
This 69-nucleotide transfer RNA is filed under the name Elateridae sp. 3 ACP-2013. RNAcentral's name for it is "tRNA-Met". Lineage: Eukaryota; Metazoa; Arthropoda; Insecta; Coleoptera; Elateridae. The record is from RNAcentral.